ACACGUAGGGGCCUGACGUUGUUCGGAAUCAUUGGGCGUAAAGGGCGCGCAGGCGGCCGUCCAAGUCCGGUGUUAAAUGGUCGGGCUCAACCCGAUCAUGCGCUGGAAACUGGGCGGCUUGAGUCCCGUAGGGGAUGCCGGAAUUCCAGGUGUAGGGGUGAAAUCUGUAGAUAUCUGGAAGAACACCGAUGGCGAAGGCAGGCAUCUGGCCGGAGACUGACGCUGAGGCGCGAAGGCGCGGGGAGCGAACAGGUUUAGAUACCCUGGUAGUCCGCGCAGUAAACGAUGCGCACCAGGCGUCGGGCGGCAGCGCCCGGUACCGGAGCUAACGCGAUGAGUGCGCCGCCUGGGGAGUAUGCCCGCAAGGGUGAAACUCAAAGGAAUUGACGGGG
This 392-nucleotide ribosomal RNA is filed under the name uncultured bacterium. RNAcentral's name for it is "partial 16S ribosomal RNA". It matches the Rfam family "Bacterial small subunit ribosomal RNA", at positions 523 to 918 of the family's 1533-position model. The record is from RNAcentral.